Centropristis striata (black sea bass) is the source of this 525-nucleotide long non-coding RNA. RefSeq lists it as uncharacterized. The record is from RefSeq and is a predicted model, not a curated record. NCBI's taxonomy places the organism in Eukaryota, Metazoa, Chordata, Actinopteri, Perciformes, Serranidae. The transcript has 3 exons.
ACUGUGAAUAAAAAUCAUUUUCAUAUGCUUGACUUUAUCCCUACGGAUGAGAACCUACUUCAUCUGAUAAGUGUUGCAUGUGACUUUCCUGAAGCUCUAAUACAUUUCUUAUAAAGUGCCAUGAGGACUGACAUCUUGAUCUCUCUCUAGAAAACUGUGCCGGCUGGCACAAGUGCAACUAAACCUGCAGUAUCACCUAAGGACACGAGUGAGGACACGAGUGAGGACACUGCUGCCCGUCCUCCUUCAAUUCCAUAUGUGACCACAACUUCUGCACAGAAAACUGUGCCGGCUGGCGCAAGUGCAGCUAAACCUGGACUAUCACCUGAGGACACGAGUGAGGACACGAGUGAGGACACUGCUGCCCCUCCUCCUUCAAUUCCAUAUGUGACCACAACUCCUGCACAGAAAACUGUGCCGGCUGGCACAGGUGCAGCUAAACCUGCAGUAUCACCUGAGGACACGAGUGAGGACACUGCUGCCCCUCCUCCUUCAAUUCCAUGUGUGACCACAGCUCCUGCACAG